This is a long non-coding RNA of Aethalodelphis obliquidens (Pacific white-sided dolphin), 486 nucleotides long. RefSeq lists it as uncharacterized. The record is from RefSeq and is a predicted model, not a curated record. Lineage: Eukaryota; Metazoa; Chordata; Mammalia; Artiodactyla; Delphinidae. The transcript is spliced from 4 exons.
CUUCCCGCUUUUCUCAGCGGUAGCUGGUUCUUGUUUGGGCCACCAGGACUCUCCCCUAGGCUUACUGUUUCUGCACUUAAGGAUAUUCAUUCUGCCCAGCUGCAGGGCUGGAGCUCUCUCAGCUACCGCGACUGGCUCCUAGAAUCCCUCCCCGUCAUUGUGGACUAGUGGCAUGAGCCGUCUAGUGAAGGUUGGUGAAGCCAGUGUUUCAUAACCACCUUCAUCCUGACCCUCUGUGGGUGUGCCGUGGGGCAGCUGCAAAACAACCAACAUGAAGGAGGAGGAGAAGAAAGGAUUCCCUCCCUUGAAGAUAUGACCUGGAAAUUACAUGCAUCAUGUCUGCUCAUAUCCCAUUGGCAAGAACUCUUCUGAUGACCACACAAGAGAUGCUGGUUUAGGCAGCAUGGAACAGUAUUACCAAGACGGGAUUUGGAGUCGCAGAGUUCUGGGUUCAAAUUCCAGCAGCACUGCUUCCUGGCUGUGUGA